Molecule: long non-coding RNA, 1151 nt
Filed under: Salmo salar (Atlantic salmon)
Lineage: Eukaryota; Metazoa; Chordata; Actinopteri; Salmoniformes; Salmonidae
Description: lncRNA (ENSSSAG00000102511.1)
Source: RNAcentral
GGGUAAUCUGCUGUCUUGAUGAUAUACUUAUCACAGGGCGUGACACAGAAGAGCAAAUGAGACAUUUUGAAGAAAGUGCUAAAAAGACUCAAAGUCUGCACUCGGAAGGUUAAAAGAGAGAAAUGUUCUUUCUUCCAGAACUGCGUAGCCUAUCUAGGUCAUGUGAUAGAUGCAGAGGGGAUACACCCCAUGAAACAGAAAACUGAAGCUAUUGAGAAGGCUUGCAUUCCUACAAACACCACUGAGCUCAGAUCUUUUCUUUCAUUAUUUAACUAUUAUGGCAAAUUCAUUCCAAAUCUGUCUACCAUAGUUAAGCCUAUGACUGCUCUACUGCAGAAAGAUGUGAAAUGGGAAUGGUCACAGAAAAGCUGAAGGAGGAAGCUAAGAGACAUCUACUUCCUAGCCAGGUGUUAGUUCACUACAACCCGGAGCUACCGCUCAUACUUGCCUGUGAUGCUUCAACGGGACUGGAAUAAUAUUCUCAGAAGUGGUGGGUGGUGUGCGCACCUCCGAAGUCUGACCAGAAGACCACUCCGUCUUCCUCUUCUCCGGCUGCGUUGUUUUGGGUCAGCCUCUGGGAUCAGUUCAAAUGCACUGGUUGGUGCGGACAAAGGAUCCACUUCGGGAAAGUCGUAUUCCUUGUCAUAGUGCUGAGUCGUGGCUGAACGACUACAUGAAUAACAAACAGCUGGCGGGUUUUAAGCUUUUUUCGGCAGGAUAGAACAGCGGCCUUUGGUAAGACAAGGGGUGGCGGUCUAUUUAUAUUUGUAAACAACAGCUGGUGCACGAAAUCUCAGGAAGUCUCAAGGUUUUGCUCACCUGAGCUAGAGUAUCUCAUGAUAAACUGUAGACCACACUCUUUACCAAGAGAGUUUCCAUCUGUAUUUUUCAUAGCUGUCUAUAUACCACAGACAGAUUACCACCACAAACCAAUGCUGGCACUAAGACCACACUCAAUGAGCUGUAAGCAACAACACAUCCGCCAAGCUGAUCCUCAACACGUCGGCACCUCAGAGGUGCAUGCUCAGUCCCCUCCUGUACUCCCUGUUCACUCAUGACUGCAUGGCCAGGCACGACUCCAACACCAUCAAGUUUGCCGAUGACACAACAGUAGUAGGCCUGAUCACCAACGACAAUGAGACAGCCUAUAG